GGGGACUUAGCUCAGUGGUAGAGCGCUUGCCUAGCGAGCACAAGGCCCUGGGUUCGGUCCCCAGCUCCG
This 69-nucleotide transfer RNA is filed under the name Rattus norvegicus (Norway rat). It matches the Rfam family "tRNA". From Rfam's summary of the family: Transfer RNA (tRNA) molecules are approximately 80 nucleotides in length. Lineage: Eukaryota; Metazoa; Chordata; Mammalia; Rodentia; Muridae. The record is from Rfam by way of RNAcentral.